CAAUAGCGUAUAUUAAAGUUGUUGCAGUUAAAAAGCUCGUAGUUGGAUUUCUGGGGAGGUGCCAAUGUCACCUUUGUGUUGCGCAGCGGCGCCUCUCCAUCCUUCUGUUAACGUCGUUGCUCCUUAAUCGGUGUGCGGCGGGCUCAGAUAUUUUACCUUGAGAAAAUUAGAGUGUUUCAGGCAGGCCAGGCCGGAAUACAUUAGCAUGGAAUAAUGGAAUAGGACUUUAGUCUCUUUGUUGGUUUGGGGGACUGCAGUAAUGAUUAAUAGGGAUAGUUGGGGGCAUUAAUACUUAACUGUCAGAGGUGGAAUUCUCAGAUUUGUUAAAGAUUAACUUAUGCGAAAGCAUUUGCCAAGGAUGUUUUCAUUAAUCAAGAACGAAAGUUAGGGGAU
This 393-nucleotide ribosomal RNA is filed under the name uncultured Strombidiidae. Its description in RNAcentral is "SSU rRNA". It matches the Rfam family "Eukaryotic small subunit ribosomal RNA", at positions 592 to 998 of the family's 1831-position model. The record is from RNAcentral. Lineage: Eukaryota; Ciliophora; Spirotrichea; Strombidiidae.